RNAcentral lists this ribosomal RNA (431 nucleotides) under Metschnikowia koreensis. Its description in RNAcentral is "eukaryotic LSU rRNA". It matches the Rfam family "Eukaryotic large subunit ribosomal RNA", at positions 86 to 536 of the family's 3401-position model. The record is from RNAcentral. Lineage: Eukaryota; Fungi; Ascomycota; Pichiomycetes; Serinales; Metschnikowiaceae.
ACGGCGAGUGAAGCGGCAAAAGCUCAAAUUUGAAAUCCUCCGGGAAUUGUAAUUUGAAGGUGGGGUUGAAUAGGUCUAGAUACUUUAAGUCCAUUGGAAAAUGGCGCCAUGGAGGGUGAUAGCCCCGUAAAAGUAUUCAAACCUUCUUUUCUUCCCCUCCUAAGAGUCGAGUUGUUUGGGAAUGCAGCUCUAAGUGGGUGGUAAAUUCCAUCUAAAGCUAAAUAUUGGCGAGAGACCGAUAGCGAACAAGUACAGUGAUGGAAAGAUGAAAAGCACUUUGAAAAGAGAGUGAAAAAGUACGUGAAAUUGUUGAAAGGGAAGGGCUUGCAAGCAGACACAACCUCGGUUGGGCCAGCAUCGGAGUGGGGGGAGACAAAAAAGGUUAGGAAUGUAGCUCCCUUUAAAGAAUUAUAUCCUARCCCUAUAUCUCC